Molecule: ribosomal RNA, 246 nt
Filed under: uncultured Chloroflexota bacterium
Lineage: Bacteria; Bacillati; Chloroflexota
Description: uncultured Chloroflexi bacterium partial 16S ribosomal RNA
Rfam family: Bacterial small subunit ribosomal RNA
Source: RNAcentral
UUUCUCUAGCGAGACUGCCCGCAAAACGGGGAGGAAGGUGGGGAUGACGUCAAGUCAGCAUGGCCUUUAUAUCUUGGGCUACACACACGCUACAAUGGAUGGCACAAUAGGUUGCAACAGCGCGAGCUGAAGCUAAUCCCCAAAGCCAUCCUCAGUACAGAUUGCAGGCUGAAACCCGCCUGCAUGAAGUCGGAGUUGCUAGUAACCGCAAAUCAGCAUGUUGCGGUGAAUACGUUCUCGGGCCUU